RNAcentral lists this ribosomal RNA (367 nucleotides) under Mytilus trossulus (common blue mussel). RNAcentral's name for it is "partial 16S ribosomal RNA". The stretch from base 41 to 367 matches the Rfam family "Bacterial large subunit ribosomal RNA", at positions 2047 to 2619 of the family's 2925-position model. The record is from RNAcentral. Lineage: Eukaryota; Metazoa; Mollusca; Bivalvia; Mytilida; Mytilidae.
UCGAAGAAGUGCUGUGUCUGAAAAUUUAAUUUAAACUAACUUUAAGGUGAAGAGGCCUUUAUGUAAAAGAAGGACGACAAGACCCUAUGAAGCUUUAUCUUAAUUGGAGUUUUUGGCUCUUAUACGAUUUUGAUGGGAGAUCAGUGAAAAUAAGUCUUUCACUAUUAUAUAAAUCUAACUCGUAUUUCCUAACUUUAUAUGUGUGGCUAGCUACUCUAGGGAUAACAGCGCAAUUUCUCCCGAAAGAUGGUAUUGGAGGGGAAGAUUGCGACCUCGAUGUUGGCUUUAGAUAUCCUAGAGGCGUAGAAGCUUCUAAUGGUGGGUCUGUUCGCCCUUUAAAAUCUAACAUGAGCUGAGUUCAGAACRG